This 379-nucleotide ribosomal RNA is filed under the name Pinnularia neomajor. RNAcentral's name for it is "eukaryotic LSU rRNA". It matches the Rfam family "Eukaryotic large subunit ribosomal RNA", at positions 85 to 489 of the family's 3401-position model. Lineage: Eukaryota; Bacillariophyta; Bacillariophyceae; Sellaphorales; Pinnulariaceae. The record is from RNAcentral.
AAGGGCGACUGAAGUGUCAAAAGCUCACCAUGUGAAUCUGCAAUGCUGAAUUGUGGUCUGAAGAGUCUUGCAAUUGAGCCAAGUCAUUUGGAAUGGGGCAGUUCAAAGGGUGAAACUCCUGAAUGCCUGGCCUUUUCACAGAGUCGAGUUGUUUGGGAUUGCAGCUCUAAGAGGGUGGUAAAUUCCACCAAAAGCAAAAUACUGGUGAAAGUCCAAUAGUGAACAAGUACCGUGAGGGAAAGAUGCAAAGAACUUUGAAAAGAGAGUUAAAGAGUACCUGAAAUUGCUGAAAAGGAAGCAGAGGGAAUCAGUGCUGUUCUGUCAUACUAUCCCAAUUGCUUGUGAUUGGGGCGCUGUGGCAAACUUAGUCUCCAUUGAU